RNAcentral lists this ribosomal RNA (496 nucleotides) under Adineta ricciae. Its description in RNAcentral is "eukaryotic LSU rRNA". It matches the Rfam family "Eukaryotic large subunit ribosomal RNA", at positions 2209 to 2584 of the family's 3401-position model. Lineage: Eukaryota; Metazoa; Rotifera; Eurotatoria; Adinetida; Adinetidae. The record is from RNAcentral.
UCUGAAUGUUAACGUGAAGAAAUUCAAAUAAGCGCGGGUAAACGGCGGGAGUAACUAUGACUCUCUUCUGGUAGCCAAAUGCCUCGUCAUCUAAUUAGUGACGCGCAUGAAUGGAUUAACGAGAUUCCCACUGUCCCUGUCUACUAUCUAGCGAAACCACAGCCAAGGGAACGGGCUUGGACUUCAAUGCGGGGAAAGAAGACCCUGUUGAGCUUGACUCUAAUCUGUCUUCGUAAAGAGACUUGAAAAGUGUAGCGUAGAUGGGAGUGGCAACACGUCAAUGAAACACCAUUAUUUUCAUUGUUUCUUUACUUACUUGGUUAUACAGAGAUUGGAUUUUACAUCCAGUGUUUGAGUGACAAACGUCGAUACUUGUAUCNUAGCAACUUUCGUUGUGUUAAAAAUAUGACUUGCAUAAGUAACAAAUUCGACUUGGCGUUAUAGGUGAACUGACAUGUUCUUUGAUUUCAGUACUCUCGAGUACGGCACGCCAUGA